ACAUGCAGUCGAGCGAACAGAUGAAGUGCUUGCACUUCUGACGUUAGCGGCGAACGGGUGAGUAACACGUAAGGAAUCUACCUAUAAGCGGGGGAUAACAUUCGGAAACGGGUGCUAAUACCGCAUAAUAUCUUCUUCCGCAUGGAAGAAGAUUGAAAGACGGCUCUGCUGUCACUUAUAGAUGACCUUGCGGUGCAUUAGUUAGUUGGUGGGGUAAUGGCCUACCAAGACGAUGAUGCAUAGCCGACCUGAGAGGGUGAUCGGCCACAUUGGGACUGAGACACGGCCCAAACUCCUACGGGAGGCAGCAGUAGGGAAUCUUCCGCAAUGGGCGAAAGCCUGACGGAGCAAUGCCGCGUGAGUGAAGAAGGCCUUCGGGUCGUAAAACUCUGUUAUAAGAGAAGAACAAAUUGUAGAGUAACUGCUACAGUCUUGACGGUAUCUUAUCAGAAAGCCACGGCUAACUACGUGCCAGCAGCCGCGGUAAUACGUAGGUGGCAAGCGUUGUCCGGAUUUAUUGGGCGUAAAGGGAGCGCAGGUGGUUUCUUAAGUCUGAUGUGAAAGCCCACGGCUUAACCGUGGAGGGUCAUUGGAAACUGGGAAACUUGAGUACAGAAGAGGAAUGUGGAACUCCAUGUGUAGCGGUGGAAUGCGUAGAUAUAUGGAAGAACACCA
RNAcentral lists this ribosomal RNA (675 nucleotides) under Aerococcus viridans. Its description in RNAcentral is "bacterial SSU rRNA". It matches the Rfam family "Bacterial small subunit ribosomal RNA", at positions 53 to 711 of the family's 1533-position model. The record is from RNAcentral. Lineage: Bacteria; Bacillati; Bacillota; Bacilli; Lactobacillales; Aerococcaceae.